This is a long non-coding RNA of Thunnus maccoyii (southern bluefin tuna), 694 nucleotides long. RefSeq lists it as uncharacterized. The record is from RefSeq and is a predicted model, not a curated record. Lineage: Eukaryota; Metazoa; Chordata; Actinopteri; Scombriformes; Scombridae. The transcript is spliced from 2 exons.
CUCGCACAUUCAAACAUGUCGGCUCAUAUUUGAACACAAACAAAUGGGGACUCCGCCGCCGUAGAGCUAACUGUUCGGGCAUUUGGCUGGUUAACAGCAGCAACGCGGCGGGCCAAUCAGAGCGCAGCAGUAGAGGAGCUGUCUGCUAUUAGAGGCACGGCUCAGGAGUCCUUCAACAGAGAGCAGAGAGAGGGGGCUGAGCGCUCUCGGCAGCCAUUUUCCUGAAACAGGACUCAAUGGCCUAUUCCUUUGUUCCAAAAGGGAUCUUACACUUGAUUUCCUCAUCUCUCACGGACUAUGAUAAAUCUAUGAUUCCUCCUUUUAAAGGAUUGAGAAGAAGGAAGAGAAUGUACUGGAUGUAAUACCCUGUGACAUUUUGAGCCUUUUUUCCUCUGCCUGGAAUCCAUCUUUGUCUUAACUAGGUCAUGGCACACCCAAUAUAAUAGUAUUUAUAAGAAAAGAAAACCAAAAUGUUGUGAAUAAACAGCUGUAUGGUUUUGGAGAUGUUGAAUUAAGAGAAACAACACAGUUUGAAGUAACAAAAUGUGUAAUGGCAGGUUGCACUUAUGGCCUUGUAUGAGUAGCAAUGAGUAAGUCCAACUCUUUUAUAAUCAUUUAACAAUUUUGGUAAUUUAGUAAUGUAAAAAAAAUGAGGCAUGCAGUUACUGUUAUUAAAAAGUUUUCUGUCAAUUCA